UGGUUCCCGCUCCCCGCUGGGAGCAGCGCGCGGCUUUGGCUCCUACUGCGCCGCCUAGUUCUGAAGGUAGAAUGGAAGCUGUACAAGUGGAAUCCCAUUGGUCUUAUAAGCAAGGGCCCAGCAGACACAGCAGGCGCUGAAUAUUAUAUUUGUGUCCGCGUGAAUGACUAGAUGAACAAGUGGAAGGAUCUGUCUGGAUGCCAAGCAGAGAGGCCCUGUCCAAAAAACUUUACGUGUGUUAUCUGACAAUCUCACAGCAGUAACCACGAGAAAGAAGCUGCAGCCUAGAGAGGUGAUGUGACAUGCUCAAGGUCAUGUAGCCAGGAAGCGAUGGAGCCUGAAUUCAAACCAGUCUGCCCCUCGACACCACACUAGAAUUACAAUGAAGUGGUGAUCCUCAGAGCAAACCCUCAUGUUGCAGGAAUGAAUGAAUGAACAAAUUACAGACACCUGGACUCAGUGGCAUGGCUGAAUGACAAUGUUUCCAGCUUUAAGGCGUUCACUGCCUUUAUUUUCUUGGGUCUCUGUUUUUGGAAUGGAGAGAGAACAGAGCGCUCUCAUCAAAUGAAGGACCGUUGCGUGCCAGAUUGAGCCUCUUGAGAUUGGAAUUGCGCUGUCUCCCUGGAGAGGCUCUGUGGAAAGUCAGGAUGUCUGCGCCGAAGACUCCUUGGAGAUCUUCUUGUCCAGAGAGGCAAAUCCACAGGCUCUUGUUUUUGUUUUGCUUUUCAGUCUACACAUGAAAAAAAAAAAAAAAAAAA
This 758-nucleotide long non-coding RNA is filed under the name Sus scrofa (pig). RNAcentral describes it as "lncRNA (ENSSSCG00025028527.1)". The record is from RNAcentral. Lineage: Eukaryota; Metazoa; Chordata; Mammalia; Artiodactyla; Suidae.